Molecule: ribosomal RNA, 329 nt
Filed under: uncultured Glomeromycotina
Lineage: Eukaryota; Fungi; Glomeromycota
Description: eukaryotic LSU rRNA
Source: RNAcentral
CAGUCGUAUCAGCGGAUAAUCAACCUUUAGAUGCGAUUUUGUGGAGUGUGAGGAGCUAAUCGCCUUCAUGCCUGUAUAUUCGUGUACUUGGGGUGUACUUAUUCGUGUGGUAAGUUAACAUCAAUUUUGGUUAUCAUAAAAUGACUGGAGGAAUGUAGCUUCGAUUUCGUAUUGAAGUGUUAUAGCCUUCGGUAGAUGUGAUGAACGAGAUUGAGGAUUGCAACGGAUACCCUUCGGGGCUACCUGUCUGGUCUCUGAUCGUUGCUCUGGUGCCGAAAGCUUGCUUACGGUUAUCAAAGUCGAUGGUCAAUAGGUUAGAACGGGUUAAA